This 864-nucleotide ribosomal RNA is filed under the name Rhytismatales sp. Its description in RNAcentral is "partial large subunit ribosomal RNA". It matches the Rfam family "Eukaryotic large subunit ribosomal RNA", at positions 76 to 954 of the family's 3401-position model. Lineage: Eukaryota; Fungi; Ascomycota; Leotiomycetes; Rhytismatales. The record is from RNAcentral.
UGCCUCAGUAACGGCGAGUGAAGCGGCAAAAGCUCAAAUUUGAAAUCUGGCUCUUUUAGGGUCCGAGUUGUAAUUUGUAGAAGAUGUUUCGGGUGUGGCUCCGGUUUAAGUUCUUUGGAAUAUUACAUCAUAGAGGGUGAGAAUCCCGUAUGUGACCGGCAGCCUUCGCCUAUGUGAAACUCUUUCGACGAGUCGAGUUGUUUGGGAAUGCAGCUCAAAAUGGGAGGUAUAUUUCUUCUAAAGCUAAAUAUUGGCCAGAGACCGAUAGCGCACAAGUAGAGUGAUCGAAAGAUGAAAAGCACUUUGGAAAGAGAGUUAAACAGUACGUGAAAUUGUUGAAAGGGAAGCGCUUGCAACCAGACUUGCACGCAGUUGAUCAUCCGGUGUUCUCACCGGGGCACUCUGCUGCGUUCAGGCCAGCAUCGGUUUUGGUGGUUGGAUAAAGGCCUUGGGAAUGUGGCUUCCUUCGGGGAGUGUUAUAGCCCUCGGUGCAAUGCAGCCUACCGGGACCGAGGACCGCGCUUCGGCUAGGAUGCUGGCGUAAUGGUUGUAAGCGACCCGUCUUGAAACACGGACCAAGGAGUCUAACAUCUAUGCGAGUGUUUGGGUGUUAAACCCAUACGCGUAAUGAAAGUGAACGGAGGUGAGAACCCUUAAGGGUGCAUCAUCGACCGGUCCUGAUGUCUUCGGAUGGAUCUGAGUAAGAGCAUAGCUGUUGGGACCCGAAAGAUGGUGAACUAUGCGUGAAUAGGGUGAAGCCAGAGGAAACUCUGGUGGAGGCUCGCAGCGGUUCUGACGUGCAAAUCGAUCGUCAAAUUUGCGCAUAGGGGCGAAAGACUUAUCGAACCAUUGAACACCUACUAG